CAAACUAAAGAUGGCGACCGGCGCACGGGUGAGUAACACGUAUCCAACCUGCCCUUUACUCGGGGAUAGCCUUUCGAAAGAAAGAUUAAUACCCGAUAGCAUAAUGAUUCCGCAUGGUUUCAUUAUUAAAGGAUUCCGGUAAAGGAUGGGGAUGCGUUCCAUUAGGUUGUUGGUGAGGUAACGGCUCACCAAGCCUUCGAUGGAUAGGGGUUCUGAGAGGAAGGUCCCCCACAUUGGAACUGAGACACGGUCCAA
RNAcentral lists this ribosomal RNA (255 nucleotides) under uncultured bacterium. RNAcentral describes it as "partial 16S ribosomal RNA". It matches the Rfam family "Bacterial small subunit ribosomal RNA", at positions 74 to 334 of the family's 1533-position model. The record is from RNAcentral.